GCCAGCGUAGCUUAAAUUAAAGCAUGACACUGAAAGAUGUUAAAAUGAGCCAAAAAAAGCUCCGCAAGCA
This 70-nucleotide transfer RNA is filed under the name Eleutheronema tetradactylum (Indian salmon). Its description in RNAcentral is "tRNA-Phe". Lineage: Eukaryota; Metazoa; Chordata; Actinopteri; Polynemidae. The record is from RNAcentral.